RNAcentral lists this non-coding RNA (25 nucleotides) under Rattus norvegicus (Norway rat). Lineage: Eukaryota; Metazoa; Chordata; Mammalia; Rodentia; Muridae. The record is from RNAcentral.
UGAGGACAUGCACCUUCCUGGUCCU